Myotis brandtii (Brandt's bat) is the source of this 393-nucleotide long non-coding RNA. RefSeq lists it as uncharacterized. NCBI's taxonomy places the organism in Eukaryota, Metazoa, Chordata, Mammalia, Chiroptera, Vespertilionidae. The record is from RefSeq and is a predicted model, not a curated record. The transcript is spliced from 3 exons.
UUCUGGCUCAGGGUGACAGCCAAAGUCAGCGCAAUGACUUCUAAAGCCCCCAGAGCACAACCUCUCAACUCCCGUGGGGCAGGAGGCUGGGGCGGCCACAGCCCGUGACCUCCGGCGGCCGGGAAUCCCGUCCGAGCUGCUGCAGGAUAACUGCGCCUUCCGAAAAUUAGAACCUCAAUCUCAUUUGGAACACAGAUAGAAGAAAGAUGGUGACAAUGAAGAAUUUGAAGACAUCUCCAGCAAAAUUCUCACUCAGGGAUCGUGUGUUGUCAUGGCAGUCAUAAACUCUGACAUAAACCAGGGUCUGGUAAGUGAUUGCAUGCCUUCACCCCGCGCCAUGCGGCUGUCCCCAUGCCUGUCUGCUUGACCCACUGCACUGUCUACAUGCCAUCG